RNAcentral lists this ribosomal RNA (405 nucleotides) under uncultured bacterium. RNAcentral describes it as "bacterial SSU rRNA". It matches the Rfam family "Bacterial small subunit ribosomal RNA", at positions 43 to 494 of the family's 1533-position model. The record is from RNAcentral.
CAGGCCUAACACAUGCAAGUCGAACGAACCCUUGGGCCUUAGUGGCGCACGGGUGCGUAACGCGUGGGAAUCUGCCCUUUGGUACGGAAUAACUCGGGGAAACUCGUGCUAAUACCGUAUGAUGUCGCAAGACCAAAGAUUUAUCGCCAAGGGAUGAGCCCGCGUAGGAUUAGCUAGUUGGUGGGGUAAAGGCCUACCAAGGCGACGAUCCUUAGCUGGUCUGAGAGGAUGAUCAGCCACACUGGGACUGAGACACGGCCCAGACUCCUACGGGAGGCAGCAGUGGGGAAUAUUGGACAAUGGGCGAAAGCCUGAUCCAGCAAUGCCGCGUGAGUGAUGAAGGCCCUAGGGUUGUAAAGCUCUUUUACCCGGGAAGAUAAUGACUGUACGGGGAGAAUAAGCCCC